AAAUCAUGUAGCUUCUCUCAUCUCAACACCCCCCUCAAGUUGGAGGGGGAAACCACCUGCAACUUGGUGAGCAGCGGAAGAAGUAAAGUGCCAGGCAAGGGCUUCGUGAGCAAGUCGGCCAGCUGACGAGAAGUAGGCAUAUGAAGCAACUUGAGAAAACCAGAAAGUAGCAAGUCCCGAACGAAAUGGCAAUCCACCUCGAUAUGUUUGGUACGUUCAUGAAAAAACAGGAUUGUUAGCAAUAUGAACAUCAGCCAUACUGUCACAAUAUACAGAAAUAGGAGAGGAAACAGAUACCCCAAGGUCAACCAACAAACGAGAGAGCCAAGUCAACUCAGCAACAACCUUGCUAAGGGCUCGAUAUUCUGCCUCAGCAGAGGAGAGAGAAACAACAUGCUGUUUCUUCGAUUUCCAACUGAUCAAACAGCCACCCAAAAGCACACAAAA
This 447-nucleotide long non-coding RNA is filed under the name Nicotiana benthamiana. RNAcentral describes it as "long non-coding RNA (NBEN_LNC032151)". Lineage: Eukaryota; Viridiplantae; Streptophyta; Magnoliopsida; Solanales; Solanaceae. The record is from RNAcentral.